GAUGAAGAACGUAGCGAAAUACGAUACUUGGUGUGAAUUGCAGAAUCCCGUGAACCAUCGAGUCUUUGAACGCAAGUUGCGCCCGAAGCCAUUAGGCCGAGGGCACGCCUGCCUGGGCGUCACACGUCGUUGCCCCCCCAUCUACUCCUUCGGGAUUGCGGGGGGCGGAUGAUGGCCUCCCGUGCGCCUCGUCGCGCGGUUGGCAUAAAUACCAAGUCCUCGGCGACGCACGCCACGACAAUCGGUGGUUGCGAAACCUCGGUUGCCCGUCGUGUGCGGUCGUCGCGCAUCGAGGGCUCGAAAAAAUUGCCGGGCUCCGGCUCGGCUUUCAACGCGACCCCAGGUCAGGCGGGGUUACCCGCUGAAUUUAAGCAUAUCAAUAAGCGGAGGA
Molecule: unclassified non-coding RNA, 391 nt
Filed under: soil metagenome
Description: partial contains 5.8S ribosomal RNA, internal transcribed spacer 2, and large subunit ribosomal RNA
Rfam family: 5.8S ribosomal RNA (bases 1-122)
Source: RNAcentral